UUCGUUAUUAGAUCGGGGGGCGCUGCACCUAAGAGGAGAUCAAGUAGGUUAAAAUGUACUCGUCGUAUUUAUUCUUGACCAAUCCAUGUCACCGUCGUCUUCACUUGGAUCUUAGAGGAACACACGUUACUCCCACGACCAAAGGUUACCCAAAAUCUUUUUUUUUUUUUUUUUAAUCUCCACAUCAAAUUUCAUUGAUCAAGAGAGAAUCUUGAUAAAUUAAUUUGAUUUUUAAUUUUACCCAAAUUUAGAUGCAAACUCAACUCUCUAUUUUCAAACAUUUCGGCUAUUUAGCAGUAGAACUUAUCCAAACAGUUAUAUGAUGAUUGACGUUGAUAGAUAGAUAUAUAUACAUACACCCACAGACAUAUAUAUACAUACAUACAUACAUUUGAUUUAUUUAGAGAUAUCAGAUAUACCAUUGAUCAAUAUAUAUUUUGCGAAACCUGCGCAAUUCUGAGAUUAAUUAAUUUUAUAAAGGAAAAAAAAAUGGGAGAUAAAAAGUUGACUAUGAUGAUCUAAGCUAAAAUGAAAUAUGUGGAUCCAUUUCUAAAUUAUCAGAAAACCUUGAGAGCCUGAGCUCCAUUUUUUUUUUUCAUUAAAGUAUACAUACAAACGGACAUAUCCCGGCUUGAAGAUGUGGGCAUGAAAAUUCGUGCAUAUUGCAGAUAAAUUAUGGUGUGCAAUUUAUAUAGAUAAUGACGAAAGCCCGAGGCCAUGUUAUCGUGGGACUUUGAGCAGAGAUAGAGAUGAAGGUAAUUAAACAAAGUAGAGAAUUAAGACAAGGACAGGCGAAGGCAUGCCUGCCCACAAAUAUAAAAUCUUUAAAACAAUUUUGUAUUCUUAUUUUUCAUAUAAUAAUCCACUCAGACAUGUGCAUAUGUAUAGCUGUAAUAUAUAUAUAUAAAGUUAGGAUCUACAUUAAAAUGAAAAAUAUAAAUUGUAAUAUAUUAAACACUAUAUUUUUUUAUUUGUUAAUAUAUUAAAAUUUAGAUUUUUUUUUAUCUGUUUGUGACAUCUUAUGAUGUUCUCACCGGAGAAUUAUUAAUAAUUUUAAAAUUUAAAAUUACACUUAUUUAGGUGUGGCUUAACAUGUUUUUAUUCUCAAUUUAGCUUUUGCAGGAAAACGAUGGAUAUGAAGCUUCCCCUUUUUGAAAAAAAUGCGGAUUCGGCUAUGCAAUACGGUACUAAUAUUUGUACAGAUUACAUUUCUAUUUGAUCAAGCUAUAAAUUUGUUAUUAUUACAACGUGAACAUUAAUGUUAAAUUCCUUUACAAGUUUCUUCAUUCAUACUUAAGUCUGAAAAAAAAUUUAUUAGGUGUGGGAUUUUGUAUGAUUUAAAAUGUAAAAUUGAGAUUAGUUACCACAGUCUAUCUAUUGUUGGUUGUAAUUCAAUGUUGUACUACAAGUUAAUAUAGAAACUCGUUAUAACCCUGCAAACUCAAAAGCUUAAGCUACUAGAUAAACGAGUACUGAAUUUAUUAAGACCCGAGCUUAUUGAGUCAACCCAAAAGUUAAGCAAUUAGAGAAGUGUUUUAAUUUUCACUUUACUAAUUGUUAGUACACUUUUGUUCCUGAUUGUAGGGUAUCUCGUGUUCCAUGGAGAGCAAGGAAAAUAACAAAUGAGUGAUGAUAAGCCGUAACUGGAUUUUCUAAGGACAUGUGCAAAAAUUUAAUUGGUUUUUCAGUUAUCAGACAAAACAUACGUAUGAUGGCUACUUUGUUAUAUUAGUAACAAAGAUAUAAAUGCCAAAAAAUUAUUUCUUUUUCAAAAGAGUAGAUAUUUAUGCUUAUGAGAUACAAGCCAAAAGUGGUUGAGAUGAUUCCAUUUGAUAAUCUAAUAAAAAAAUUGCCAUAAAUCAUCUUUGAAUAUUGUUUCACUUAAAAA
RNAcentral lists this long non-coding RNA (1888 nucleotides) under Citrus sinensis (sweet orange). RNAcentral describes it as "long non-coding RNA (CSIN_LNC001585)". Lineage: Eukaryota; Viridiplantae; Streptophyta; Magnoliopsida; Sapindales; Rutaceae. The record is from RNAcentral.